CUCGACUCUUGGACGACAUCUCCCGCCUCCGCUUGUC
Molecule: small RNA, 37 nt
Filed under: Propionibacterium australiense
Lineage: Bacteria; Bacillati; Actinomycetota; Actinomycetes; Propionibacteriales; Propionibacteriaceae
Description: CRISPR_Spacer
Source: RNAcentral